UUUUUUCUCUUUUUUUUUUGCUUUUUCAGAAGUCCUCAGAGUUAAUAGCCUGAAGUUGUUUGGAAACCUGAGAAACUGAAGUCCUGAAGACCUUUCUCCUGCUUCUUGGUAGAAAGAUGACACGUGCAUGCCACUGUGCUACCGGCAAAGAGUGAUUCCUGCUUUUUGAUCUUGGAAAGAGAAGAUGAAACAGUGACUCAACCAGCUUAGGCGCUCCAAAUAAUGCCAUCAGCACAAGGGAAAGAUCAGCAGAGCAAGAGAGGCUGGGUUCAAAGCUUUUGCAUCUUCUAAGAACAGUCUCAAGCACCUGCAGAGCUGUUCAGAGCUACCACCACCCAUCAGCCUUGCUGAGCCUUGUCACCAGUAGAGCUCAAAACAGAUUUUCUGAAAACUUCCAGGGAACUUCAGCACAAAUCCUGUUCAUUUUGCCAGAACAAAUGAAGUGUAGAAUAUAUUAAGUGGGCUUGUUUCACCUUAAUAAAAUUAUGAGAAGGGGAAAGUUUAUUUGAGAAAUAAACACGACUACAAGACACAAAAAGUUCAUUAUUUGUAAAGGGGGGUUUCUUUUUUUAACGCAGAUGUGGCUGUAACUGUGUUUGAGACCUUUGGCUGAAUUAAUUAUACUUUUAAAUCAUCCCAGAUAACAAAGCUACAAACAAAGAACCCUUUUUGUAUCAGACAAAGAUGUGCCACCUUUCUCAGUUCUGUGAACCAAUCCACUACCAAACAUGGUGCCAAAUACUGAAGUGGAAUAUGAAACUGGGAGAUACUCAGGAGGACCUGCAAGACUAGCCAAGAAUGGAAGAGUGCUUGGGAAGGCAUGAAGAAAAGCUGGAGAUAUUGUGAGGGUCUGAAUUAUUUUAAUGGGUAGAGACCUCCUGAAAGUGACAAUUUUCCAUAGGGUGCUGAACACAAGAGAUCUCUAGGGAGGGAGAUCAAUUUGAGGAGCUGGAAGUGUGAUAUGUCAAAUCACACAUAUUCGGGAAGACAAAAUGCCAUCACCCUGAACAUUUCCACCUUCCUCCUUCCCUCCCUUUUAUAUACUGAGCAUGAUGUCAGAUGGUCUGAAAUGUCCUUUGGUCAACUGGGAUCACUUGUCCUGGCUGUGUCACCUACCAAUUCCCCGAACACCCCCAACUUCCUUCACCAGCCCAACAGUAGGGAAAAUAGGUCUUGGCUCUGUGCAAUCCCUGCUCAGCAGUAACAAAAACAUUUCAUUAUUAUCACCCCUGUGUUCAGCACAAAUCCAAACCACAGCCCCAUUCCAGCCACUGGGAAUAAGAUUAACCCUACCCCAGGCAAG
Molecule: long non-coding RNA, 1303 nt
Organism: Cyanistes caeruleus (blue tit)
Lineage: Eukaryota; Metazoa; Chordata; Aves; Passeriformes; Paridae
Source: RefSeq, a predicted model, not a curated record